UUACUCUGGUUUCCCUUCAAUACACGUUUAAAUCUUUCGCCUUUUACUAAAGAUUUCCGUGGAGGGGAACAAUUGAUGAGUCUAUACUCUAUUUUUUUUCGUACCUAGCGCAAGCUGGGUC
Molecule: small nuclear RNA, 121 nt
Filed under: Aphidius gifuensis
Lineage: Eukaryota; Metazoa; Arthropoda; Insecta; Hymenoptera; Braconidae
Description: U5 spliceosomal RNA
Rfam family: U5 spliceosomal RNA
About the family: U5 RNA is a component of both types of known spliceosome. The precise function of this molecule is unknown, though it is known that the 5' loop is required for splice site selection and p220 binding, and that both the 3' stem-loop and the Sm site are important for Sm protein binding and cap methylation.
Source: Rfam by way of RNAcentral